GCCCGGAUGGUGGAAUCGGUAGACACAAGGGAUUUAAAAUCCCUCGGCUGUAAGGCUGUGUGGGUUCAAGUCCCACUCCGGGCACCA
This 87-nucleotide transfer RNA is filed under the name Citrobacter freundii. RNAcentral's name for it is "tRNA-Leu". It matches the Rfam family "tRNA". From Rfam's summary of the family: Transfer RNA (tRNA) molecules are approximately 80 nucleotides in length. The record is from RNAcentral. Lineage: Bacteria; Pseudomonadati; Pseudomonadota; Gammaproteobacteria; Enterobacterales; Enterobacteriaceae. RNAcentral also lists the same sequence under 14 other names.